GAUGAACGCUGGCGGCGUGCCUAAUACAUGCAAGUCGAGCGAACAGACGAGGAGCUUGCUCCUUUGACGUUAGCGGCGGACGGGUGAGUAACACGUAGGUAACCUACCUAUAAUACUGGGAUAACUUCGGGAAACCGGAGCUAAUACCGGAUAAUAUUUCGAACCGCAUGGUUCGAUAGUGUAAGAUGGCUUUGCUAUCACUUAUAGAUGGACCUGCGCCGUAUUAGCUAGUUGGUAAGGUAACGGCUUACCAAGGCAACGAUACGUAGCCGACCUGAGAGGGUGAUCGGCCACACUGGAACUGAGACACGGUCCAGACUCCUACGGGAGGCAGCAGUAGGGAAUCUUCCGCAAUGGGCGAAAGCCUGACGGAGCAACGCCGCGUGAGCGAUGAAGGUCUUCGGAUCGUAAAACUCUGUUAUUAGGGAAGAACAAAAGUGUAAGUAACUGUGCACGUCUUGACGGUACCUAAUCAGAAAGCCACGGCUAACUACGUG
This 497-nucleotide ribosomal RNA is filed under the name uncultured bacterium. RNAcentral describes it as "partial 16S ribosomal RNA". It matches the Rfam family "Bacterial small subunit ribosomal RNA", at positions 28 to 507 of the family's 1533-position model. The record is from RNAcentral.